AAGAGUGUAGCUCAAUUGGUAGAGUAGUGGUCUAAAAAAACCAUUGGUUACAGGUUCGACUCCUGUCACUCUUG
This 74-nucleotide transfer RNA is filed under the name Bacillus phage vB_BauM_KLEB27-3. It matches the Rfam family "tRNA". Rfam says of the family: Transfer RNA (tRNA) molecules are approximately 80 nucleotides in length. Their secondary structure includes four short double-helical elements and three loops (D, anti-codon, and T loops). The record is from Rfam by way of RNAcentral. Lineage: Duplodnaviria; Heunggongvirae; Uroviricota; Caudoviricetes.